GAUGAACGCUGGCGGCGUGCCUAAUACAUGCAAGUCGAGCGAACAUACGAGGAGCUUGCUCCUCUGACGUUAGCGGCGGACGGGUGAGUAACACGUGGAUAACCUACCUAUAAGACUGGGAUAACUUCGGGAAACCGGAGCUAAUACCGGAUAAUAUAUUGAACCGCAUGGUUCAAUAGUGAAAGACGGUUUUGCUGUCACUUAUAGAUGGAUCCGCGCCGCAUUAGCUAGUUGGUAAGGUAACGGCUUACCAAGGCGACGAUGCGUAGCCGACCUGAGAGGGUGAUCGGCCACACUGGAACUGAGACACGGUCCAGACUCCUACGGGAGGCAGCAGUAGGGAAUCUUCCGCAAUGGGCGAAAGCCUGACGGAGCAACGCCGCGUGAGUGAUGAAGGUCUUCGGAUCGUAAAACUCUGUUAUUAGGGAAGAACAAAUGUGUAAGUAACUAUGCACGUCUUGACGGUACCUAAUCAGAAAGCCACGGCUAACUACGUG
This 497-nucleotide ribosomal RNA is filed under the name uncultured bacterium. RNAcentral's name for it is "partial 16S ribosomal RNA". It matches the Rfam family "Bacterial small subunit ribosomal RNA", at positions 28 to 507 of the family's 1533-position model. The record is from RNAcentral.